GACUCCUACGGGAGGCAGCAGUGGGGAAUUUUGGACAAUGGGGGCAACCCUGAUCCAGCAAUGCCGCGUGUGUGAAGAAGGCCUUCGGGUUGUAAAGCACUUUUGUCCGGGAAGAAAUCGCACCUGAUAAUACCGGGUGUGGAUGACGGUACCGGAAGAAUAAGGACCGGCUAACUACGUGCCAGCAGCCGCGGUAAUACGUAGGGUCCAAGCGUUAAUCGGAAUUACUGGGCGUAAAGCGUGCGCAGGCGGUUGUGCAAGACCGAUGUGAAAUCCCCGGGCUUAACCUGGGAAUUGCAUUGGUGACUGCACGGCUAGAGUGUGUCAGAGGGGGGUAGAAUUCCACGUGUAGCAGUGAAAUGCGUAGAGAUGUGGAGGAAUACCGAUGGCGAAGGCAGCCCCCUGGGAUAACACUGACGCUCAUGCACGAAAGCGUGGGGAGCAAACAGGAUUAGAUACCCUGGUAGUCCACGCCCUAAACGAUGUCAACUAGUUGUUGGGGAUUCAUUUCCUUAGUAACGUAGCUAACGCGUGAAGUUGACCGCCUGGGGAGUACGGUCGCAAGAUUAAAACUCAAAUGAAUUGACGGGGA
Molecule: ribosomal RNA, 592 nt
Filed under: uncultured Ralstonia sp.
Lineage: Bacteria; Pseudomonadati; Pseudomonadota; Betaproteobacteria; Burkholderiales; Burkholderiaceae
Description: bacterial SSU rRNA
Rfam family: Bacterial small subunit ribosomal RNA
Source: RNAcentral